GGCCUUGUAGUGUAAUAAACAUUUAGGAUUGCAAAUCCUUAGAUGCAGCUAAUAAUUGCCAAGGCUU
RNAcentral lists this transfer RNA (67 nucleotides) under Echinocardium cordatum (sea potato). Its description in RNAcentral is "transfer RNA-Cys". It matches the Rfam family "tRNA". From Rfam's summary of the family: Transfer RNA (tRNA) molecules are approximately 80 nucleotides in length. Their secondary structure includes four short double-helical elements and three loops (D, anti-codon, and T loops). Further hydrogen bonds mediate the characteristic L-shaped molecular structure. tRNAs have two regions of fundamental functional importance: the anti-codon, which is responsible for specific mRNA codon recognition, and the 3' end, to which the tRNAs corresponding amino acid is attached (by aminoacyl-tRNA synthetases). tRNAs cope with the degeneracy of the genetic code in two manners: having more than one tRNA (with a specific anti-codon) for a particular amino acid; and 'wobble' base-pairing, i.e. permitting non-standard base-pairing at the 3rd anti-codon position. Lineage: Eukaryota; Metazoa; Echinodermata; Echinoidea; Spatangoida; Loveniidae. The record is from RNAcentral.